UACGGAGGGAGCUAGCGUUGUUCGGAAUUACUGGGCGUAAAGCGCACGUAGGCGGCUUUGUAAGUUAGAGGUGAAAGCCCGGGGCUCAACCCCGGAAUAGCCUUUAAGACUGCAUCGCUUGAACACGGGAGAGGUGAGUGGAAUUCCGAGUGUAGAGGUGAAAUUCGUAGAUAUUCGGAAGAACACCAGUGGCGAAGGCGGCUCACUGGACCGUUGUUGACGCUGAGGUGCGAAAGCGUGGGGAGCAAACAGG
RNAcentral lists this ribosomal RNA (253 nucleotides) under uncultured bacterium. RNAcentral describes it as "partial 16S ribosomal RNA". It matches the Rfam family "Bacterial small subunit ribosomal RNA", at positions 524 to 776 of the family's 1533-position model. The record is from RNAcentral.